GGAAAUGCAGGUCACAUGUUUGUCAGGCCUCCAGGAUUCACACAAAACAUUUUGAGUUAAACUUUUGUUUCUCCACAGGAGCCUGUUCCAGAGAGCAGGUUUAUUAAACUCUGACUUGACUAAAACCUGAGAUUUUGUUUCCAGAGCAGCUGAGUGUCUGAGUGUGUUCACGCUGAGUUAACUGUGUGUGAGGUGAAUAAGAAACAAUGGAUAUGAAUGGAGCUCCUUACUACAGUUCACCAUGGCAACAGCUGUAACCUGACGAGGACAAAGUGCUGCUGCAGCAGGAGAUGGAGAAAGAUCAAACAGGGAUUUUCCAGACAAUGCAUGAGGGGAAACGCUCUGCUCUUCUCUGCCGAUGUGUUGAUUAGCCUCAGCCGGCCGCCAUCAUCCCUGGACGGGACGUCACCUGCAGCAACAGGCCUGAGGUGGGAGGCGGUAGGAAAACACAUCACUCAGAUAAAUAACCACAGCUUUAUGUGCAGACCACUGGACCACAGCACUGCGGUGUUGUGGGGGGGUUGUGGGUCUCCUCUGCCAUUUGCCUGGUUCCACAUAGGUGCUCUCCCAAAACAACACAGAGCAGAGAUGCAGAGGCAGCUGUGCAUUUAGUGUGCAAAGAGAUCUGCUGCGUUUGAUAAAAUAAACUCUGAGCAGUAUAUGUUCAUCACACAGACAGAGCAGAUGAUGAUCAGUAGUGUUUGGUGAUUUAUGUGUAGCAGGCGCACAGUCAUAGUAAUCCUCUUUAAUCCUUCGCUGGAUAUAUCUACAGAUGAGAGCGCUGUUAUUAAAGCCCCUUAUGUCCCCACCCAGGACCACCCACCACCCACUGUCACUGUCACUGUCACUGCUCGUUAUCACAUAAAACGACGACAGAUUAAAACCCAACUUUUCCCCUUCUCUUUGUUUUUCCUUUGUGUGUGUUUGUUGAAAGUCAUUUUUAAGAGGAGACAGCUCAACAAACACUUUUCUACCUUUUAUAUAAACAACAGACGCCAACAUGUUUGUCAUAUUUAUAUAAGGUUGUUAAAUACUGGAUCUUUACUGAAGGAAAAACAAGAGAAAAGACUCUCAGUCCGAGCCGUGCCGAGCCGUGCCGCGCCGCGCUGCACUGCGCUGUGCUCCGGGCUGUUGGAAGUGAGCAGCGUGAGUCUGAUGCCCGGCUGUGAUGCACUGUGUGCGUGUCCUUGCCCUCUCCUUUAACCUCACAGGGAUUGUUUCUCUCUCUGUGCAGCUCCGCUCAUCAUAUUAAGCUGCAAUGAGACUUUUUCAUUUGUCAGCAUUGCCACUGUUUGCCUGUGGACGUGCGGGUCAGAUGUGGCCUUUAAUGCUCUGGAACUUGAUAAGAUGCGACAGGAUGAGGUUAAUCUACCUCAGUAGUUAAUGGCUUUGGUUCACCAAGACUUUAGAGUCGCCUGUUUACCUCCAAAACUCUGGAUUACAUAGGUCCGGUGCCAGCAGCCUGGCAGAGAGCGGCGUUUCUGUGAUUGAACCGAACCCUGUGCACAAAUCAAAACCUCAGGUCACAGUUUUCACGUAUCCUGUGAAAUAUCUCAGUGUGGCAUAAACAGACGCUCCUGUUUAAAGGAUGAUUUCUGUUGACUCUCAUGAUGCCUCAGACUUUUCAUUUGCUGCCACGGUAAAGGAAGAGUCAGGUCGGCGUUUUUGGUUUUUAAUCUUUUAAUCCAGCGCCAUCAAAAAGUUUGUCUUUAGGGUGAAAACAAUCUUUAAAUCCAACAUUUUCCCAGAAUGCACAGCUCCAGUCUGCUCCUCUUCACCGGAGCGUGGCCACCACAGUUUGUAAAACUGAUGUUACAGGAUUCAGUCUGCUGUUAGACAUCAGACGAUGAAGAUCUGCUGGAUCAAACUUCUCAAAUAUACGAUCUGUGUCUCUGCUGUUCUGUGGCUCCGAGUCUUUCCCUCAGCGGGCUUCAUGUGCAUCUGAACGUGUUUCAGGAUCAUGGUGGGUCAGGAGCUGACGCGUGGUCCCCCACCGGGCCCGUCCUGUUUUAACAUCCCAGCGGGCACCGAUCUGCACCAGCGUGGGUUUGAUUAUUCUCCGAGAGCCUGCUGAUGUGGGCGGCACCGAGAAAGAUGCACUCUGGCUUCAACUCCGAGAGUGAGUGUGUGUUUUAAACGCAGUGUGUGUGUGUGUCUUUGUCACGUCACACUGUAAAAUAAAAUCUCAACAGGUCAGUGCAGAGUAGAGCAGGGUUAGACUUCAUCACAGUAAACUGAUACUAAGCUGCCUAACAGAUUAGACUGGCAUCGUCUGUGUGUUAUAUUGUGUCUUUUGAUGCUGUUCAUCGGUGUGGAAGUGUGUUCUCCGUUGCACGAUGUUCACAGCCUUCGGACCGUGACCACAGCUGGACCUUGACCUGACCCCGUGACUGUAGGGCGGGUGGAGAGGUGGAGGUCACAGGAACACUCCCCCCGCCCCUCACCCCUCCCUCCCCUGCUGCACAACUUCCUCCAAUCAGCCACAGCACACACACACACACACACACACACACACACUGUCUACUAAAGCACUGUAACAUCUGUUUGUUCUUUCAGGCAGAAUGAGAGUUUCUAAACAAACACCAUCCUCUGAAGCAUAUCACCAUCUCACAGAAAUAGAAACUUCUGCUUUUGUCCACCUCUCAAGCAUGAGUGUGUGUGUGAGUGUGUGUGUGCACCGUGUAGCUAUCUUUGUGAGGACCACGCUGAGUUUUAGAGCUUUAGUGUGAAGACGUUCUGGCCUCUCUCCACACGGCUGUUUGAGAGUUAAGACUUGGUUUUAGGGUUUGGGUUAUAAUGGGUUAGGGUUAGUGUUGGUACAGGGUGGAUGAGGAUGUGACUGUCCUCUUAAAGACUAGGAACAGUCUAAAGCUCCUCCUCCUGUUGUAGUUAUGUAGCAUGUGAAUUCUUCAAAAUGUGUUCUGUGCAGUCACAGUGACCUUUGACCUCUGACCUUCAAAAUCGAACCAGUUCAUCUUUAAGUCCGAAGAAAUUCCCUCGAAGCAGAUUCACACUCAAGUGACCUUUGACCUCUGGGCUCCAACGUCUCAACAUCAUGGAGUCUUCCUCUUUCUUCACUCGGUGCACCUACACUGUUCAGAACCGUUCAGAGCGAUUUCAACCCUGAACCGGUUCUGAUCCUGAAGAGUCAAAGAGAGGAUGAGGAGAGAGCAGAGCAGCUGUGGAAGUGAACUGACGAAUCAAAGCGAACACAAACCCGCGGGUGUAGAUGUUUACAGACGGAC
Molecule: long non-coding RNA, 3245 nt
Organism: Lates calcarifer (barramundi perch)
Lineage: Eukaryota; Metazoa; Chordata; Actinopteri; Centropomidae
Exons: 3
Source: RefSeq, a predicted model, not a curated record